RNAcentral lists this ribosomal RNA (160 nucleotides) under Kondoa miscanthi. Its description in RNAcentral is "5.8S rRNA". It matches the Rfam family "5.8S ribosomal RNA". From Rfam's summary of the family: 5.8S ribosomal RNA (5.8S rRNA) is a component of the large subunit of the eukaryotic ribosome. Lineage: Eukaryota; Fungi; Basidiomycota; Agaricostilbomycetes; Agaricostilbales; Kondoaceae. The record is from RNAcentral.
ACAACUUUCAGCAACGGAUUUCUUGGCUCUCGCAUCGAUGAAGAACGCAGCGAAAUGCGAUACGUAAUGUGAAUUGCAGAACUCAGUGAAUCAUCGAAUUUUUGAACGCACCUUGCGCUCUUUAGUUAUUCUGAAGAGCAUGCUUGUUUGAGUGUCGCGA